UACGUAGGGUGCGAGCGUUAUUCGGAAUUACUGGGCGUAAAGCGUGCGCAGGCGGUUCGUUAAGUCAGAUGUGAAAUCCCCGGGCUUAACCUGGGAACUGCGUUUGAAACUGAAAGGCUAGAGUGUGGCAGAGGGGGGUGGAAUUCCACGUGUAGCAGUGAAAUGCGUAGAGAUGUGGAGGAACACCGAUGGCGAAGGCAGCCCCCUGGGCUAACACUGACGCUCAUGCACGAAAGCGUGGGGAGCAAACAGG
This 253-nucleotide ribosomal RNA is filed under the name uncultured bacterium. RNAcentral describes it as "partial 16S ribosomal RNA". It matches the Rfam family "Bacterial small subunit ribosomal RNA", at positions 524 to 776 of the family's 1533-position model. The record is from RNAcentral.